CCGCGGGAUUAGAGUUUGAUCCUGGCUCAGGACGAACGCUGGCGGCGUGCUUAACACAUGCAAGUCGAACGGAAAGGCCCUGCUUUUGUGGGGUGCUCGAGUGGCGAACGGGUGAGUAACACGUGAGUAACCUGCCCUUGACUCUGGGAUAAGCCCGGGAAACUGGGUCUAAUACCGGAUAGGAGCUCCUGCUGCAUGGUGGUUGUUGGAAAGUUUCGGCGGUUGGGGAUGGACUCGCGGCCUAUCAGCUUGUUGGUGGGGUAGUGGCUCACCAAGGCUUUGACGGGUAGCCGGCCUGAGAGGGUGACCGGCCACACAGGGACUGAGAUACGGCCCAGACUCCUACGGGAGGCAGCAGUGGGGAAUAUUGCACAAUGGGCGAAAGCCUGAUGCAGCAACGCCGCGUGCGGGAUGACGGCCUUCGGGUUGUAAACCUCUUUCGCCUGUGACGAAGCGUGAGUGACGGUAAUGGGUAAAGAAGCACCGGCUAACUACGUGCCAGCAGCCGCGGUAAUACGUAGGCCGCAAGCGUUGUCCGGAUUUAUUGGGCGUAAAGGGCUCGUAGGUGGUUGAUCGCGUCUGAAGUGAAAUCUUGGGGCUUAACCCUGAGCGUGCUUUCGAUACGGGUUGACUUGAGGAAGGUAGGGGAGAAUGGAAUUCCUGGUGGAGCGGUGGAAUGCGCAGAUAUCAGGAGGAACACCAGUGGCGAAGGCGGUUCUCUGGGCCUUUACUGACGCUGAGGAGCGAAAGCGUCGGGAGCGAACAGGAUUAGAUACCCUGGUAGUCCAUGCUGUAAACGGUGGGUACUAAGUGGGGGGUCCAUUCCACGUUUUCCGUGCCG
RNAcentral lists this ribosomal RNA (841 nucleotides) under uncultured bacterium. Its description in RNAcentral is "bacterial SSU rRNA". It matches the Rfam family "Bacterial small subunit ribosomal RNA", at positions 1 to 848 of the family's 1533-position model. The record is from RNAcentral.